UACGUAGGAGGCGAGCGUUGUCCGGAGUUACUGGGCGUAAAGGGUGCGCAGGUGGCCGUGUGCGUGGGGAGUGAAAUCGCCUGGCUUAACUGGGCGGGGGCUUUCCAGACGGCGCGGCUUGAGCCACAGAGGGGGGCGUGGAAUUCCGGGUGGAGCGGUGAAAUGCGUAGAGAUCCGGAGGAACACCGACGGCGUAGGCAGCGCGCUGGCUGUGAAUAAAGCUGACACUGAGGCACGAAAGCUAGGGGAGCAAACAGG
RNAcentral lists this ribosomal RNA (258 nucleotides) under uncultured bacterium. RNAcentral's name for it is "partial 16S ribosomal RNA". It matches the Rfam family "Bacterial small subunit ribosomal RNA", at positions 524 to 776 of the family's 1533-position model. The record is from RNAcentral.